GAUGAACGCUAGCGAUAGGCUUAACACAUGCAAGUCGAGGGGCAGCAUGGUCUUAGCUUGCUAAGACUGAUGGCGACCGGCGCACGGGUGCGUAACGCGUAUGCAACUUGCCUCACAGAGGGGGAUAACCCGUCGAAAGACGGACUAAUACCGCGUACACUCCACUUUGGGCAUCCAAGGAGGAGGAAAUGAACUUCGCUGUGAGAUAGGCAUGCGUCCCAUUAGCUUGUUGGUGAGGUAACGGCUCACCAAGGCGACGAUGGGUAGGGGAACUGAGAGGUUGAACCCCCACACUGGUACUGAGACACGGACCAGACUCCUACGGGAGGCAGCAGUGAGGAAUAUUGGUCAAUGGGCGAGAGCCUGAACCAGCCAAGUCGCGUGAAGGAUGACUGUCUUAUGGAUUGUAAACUUCUUUUAUACGGGAAUAACAAGAGCCACGUGUGGCUCCCUGCAUGUACCGUAUGAAUAAGCAUCGGCUAACUCCGUGCCAGCAGCCGCGGUAAUACGGAGGAUGCGAGCGUUAUCCGGAUUUAUUGGGUUUAAAGGGUGCGUAGGCGGCCUGUUAAGUCAGCUGUUAAAUCUAGGAGCUUAACUCCUAAAUUGCCAUUGAAACUGGCGGGCUUGAGUGUAGAUGAGGUAGGCGGAAUGCGUGGUGUGCGUUGGAAUGCAUAUGUAUACUCAAACUGGAAUGGCGAGGGAGCUGACUAAGGGACGAUGGAGCUAAGUGUAUUUGUGUGUAUGAUGAUGUGUAUUACUGUGUUUUUGUGUGUGCUAGUUUCUGUGUGGGGUUGUGGGUUGCUGGUCGCGUCGCUGUGGUGGUGUGCCCCCUGUGCUGGUUUUGGUCCCUUGCUGAGUGUGUAAAAUGGGACUGCUGGAUAUUUUUCA
Molecule: ribosomal RNA, 888 nt
Filed under: uncultured Streptococcus sp.
Lineage: Bacteria; Bacillati; Bacillota; Bacilli; Lactobacillales; Streptococcaceae
Description: bacterial SSU rRNA
Rfam family: Bacterial small subunit ribosomal RNA (bases 1-759)
Source: RNAcentral